This 446-nucleotide ribosomal RNA is filed under the name uncultured bacterium. Its description in RNAcentral is "SSU rRNA". It matches the Rfam family "Bacterial small subunit ribosomal RNA", at positions 26 to 518 of the family's 1533-position model. The record is from RNAcentral.
AGAGCGAACGCUGGCGGCAGGCCUAACACAUGCAAGUCGAGCGCCCGUAGCAAUACGGGAGCGGCAGACGGGAUAGUAACACGUGGGAACGCGCCCUUCGGUUCGGAAUAACUCAGGGAAACUUGAGCUAAUACCGGAUACGCCCUUACGGGGAAAGAUUUAUUGCCGAAGGAACGGCCCGCGUCCGAUUAGCUAGUUGGUGAGGUAAUGGCUCACCAAGGCGACGAUCGGUAGCUGGUCUGAGAGGAUGACCAGCAUCACUGGGACUGAGACACGGCCCAGACUCCUACGGGAGGCAGCAGUGGGGAUAUUGGACAAUGGGCGCAAGCCUGAUCCAGCCAUGCCGCGUGGAUGAUGAAGGCCUUAGGGUUGUAAAGUCCUUUUAACGGGGAGAUAAUGACGGUACCCGUAGAAUAAGCCCCGGCUAACUUCGUGCCAGCAGCCGC